UACGGAGGAUCCAAGCGUUAUCCGGAUUCACUGGGUUUAAAGGGUGCGUAGGUGGAAUGAAAAGUCAGUGGUGAAAACCUGCAGCUUAACUGUAGAACUGCCAUUGAUACUGUCGUUCUUGAGUACAUUUGAUGUGAGUGGAAUGUGUCGUGUAGCGGUGAAAUGCUUAGAUAUGACACAGAACACCAAUUGCGAAGGCAGCUCACAAAACUGUAACUGACACUGAGGCACGAAAGCGUGGGGAUCAAACAGG
This 253-nucleotide ribosomal RNA is filed under the name uncultured bacterium. RNAcentral's name for it is "partial 16S ribosomal RNA". It matches the Rfam family "Bacterial small subunit ribosomal RNA", at positions 524 to 776 of the family's 1533-position model. The record is from RNAcentral.